This 128-nucleotide small nuclear RNA is filed under the name Leptobrachium leishanense (Leishan spiny toad). RNAcentral's name for it is "U2 spliceosomal RNA (ENSLLEG00000017100.1)". It matches the Rfam family "U2 spliceosomal RNA". From Rfam's summary of the family: U2 is a small nuclear RNA (snRNA) component of the spliceosome (involved in pre-mRNA splicing). The record is from Rfam by way of RNAcentral. Lineage: Eukaryota; Metazoa; Chordata; Amphibia; Anura; Megophryidae.
AUCGCUUCUCGGCCUUUUGGCUAAGAUCAAGUGUAGUAUCUGUUCUUAACAAUUUAAUAUCUGAUACGCCCUGUCCACUCCACGCAUUGACCUGGUAUUGCAGUAUUUCCAGGAUCUGUGCACCAAAA